Molecule: long non-coding RNA, 186 nt
Organism: Girardinichthys multiradiatus
Lineage: Eukaryota; Metazoa; Chordata; Actinopteri; Cyprinodontiformes; Goodeidae
Exons: 3
Source: RefSeq, a predicted model, not a curated record
AAAAACGUCGUCUGAUUAAGCGAAGAACUACUGCAACAAGGCUUCAAAGGAACCUAAAGACGUUGCACAGGAUGUGGAUUUAUAUUUUGAUCAUCUUCUUGUCUGAAGAAUGGCCCAUAUGUCAAGGAACUAACUCAACCAACUCUGUGAUCUCAAAUACAACCACUCCAAAUGUGAAAGUUUAUG